RNAcentral lists this long non-coding RNA (168 nucleotides) under Chinchilla lanigera (long-tailed chinchilla). RNAcentral's name for it is "lncRNA (ENSCLAG00000026194.1)". The record is from RNAcentral. Lineage: Eukaryota; Metazoa; Chordata; Mammalia; Rodentia; Chinchillidae.
CGCGGGCCCAUGGAGUGUUACUACAUUGUCAUCAGCUCCACGCGCCUCAGCAACGGGCACUUUCGCAACAUCAAGGGAGUUUUCCGAGGCCCUCUCGGCAAGAACGGGAACAAAACUCUGUACUUAUCUAGUUAUCAGGCUGUGGAAUUACAUAUGGCCUCUGCCUGA